GAUGAACGCUGGCGGCGUGCCUAAUACAUGCAAGUCGAGCGAACGGACGAGAAGCUUGCUUCUCUGAUGUUAGCGGCGGACGGGUGAGUAACACGUGGAUAACCUACCUAUAAGACUGGGAUAACUUCGGGAAACCGGAGCUAAUACCGGAUAAUAUUUUGAACCGCAUGGUUCAAAAGUGAAAGACGGUCUUGCUGUCACUUAUAGAUGGAUCCGCGCUGCAUUAGCUAGUUGGUAAGGUAACGGCUUACCAAGGCAACGAUGCAAAGCCGACCUGAGAGGGUGACCGGCCACCCUGCAGCUGAGGCACGGUCCAGACCCCUACGGGAGGCAGCAGUAGGGAAUCUUCCGCAAUGGGCGAAAGCCUGACGGAGCAAAGCCGCGUGAGUCAUGCGGGUCUUCGGAUCGUAAAACUCUGUUAUUAGCGAAGAACAUAUGUGUAAGUACCUGUGCACAUCUUGACGGUACCUAAUCAGAAAGCCACGGCUAACUACGUG
RNAcentral lists this ribosomal RNA (497 nucleotides) under uncultured bacterium. Its description in RNAcentral is "partial 16S ribosomal RNA". It matches the Rfam family "Bacterial small subunit ribosomal RNA", at positions 28 to 507 of the family's 1533-position model. The record is from RNAcentral.